This 393-nucleotide ribosomal RNA is filed under the name Chlamydomonas raudensis. RNAcentral describes it as "partial small subunit ribosomal RNA". It matches the Rfam family "Eukaryotic small subunit ribosomal RNA", at positions 30 to 432 of the family's 1831-position model. Lineage: Eukaryota; Viridiplantae; Chlorophyta; Chlorophyceae; Chlamydomonadales; Chlamydomonadaceae. The record is from RNAcentral.
GCUUGUCUCAAAGAUUAAGCCAUGCAUGUCUAAGUAUAGUACCUUAUACUGCGAAACUGCGAAUGGCUCAUUAAAUCAGUUAUAAUUCAUUUGAUGGUACUUACUACUCGGAUAACCGUAGUAAUUCUAGAGCUAAUACGUGCGUAAAUCCCGACUUCUGGAAGGGACGUAUUUAUUAGAUAAAAGGCCAGCCGGGUUUCGGCCCGUUCUUUGGCGACUCAUAAUAACUUUCGGAUCGAUCUUCGGAUCGAUGCAUCAUUCAAGUUUCUGCCCUAUCAGCUUUGGAUGGUAGGGUAUUGGCCUACCAUGGCUUUAACGGGUAACGGAGAAUUAGGGUUCGAUUCCGGAGAGGGAGCCUGAGAAAUGGCUACCACAUCCAAGGAAGGCAGCAGG